GUUAAGCGACUAAGCGUACACGGUGGAUGCCUAGGCAGUCAGAGGCGAUGAAGGGCGUGCUAAUCUGCGAAAAGCGUCGGUAAGCUGAUAUGAAGCGUUAUAACCGACGAUACCCGAAUGGGGAAACCCAGUGCAAUACGUUGCACUAUCGUUAGAUGAAUACAUAGUCUAACGAGGCGAACCGGGGGAACUGAAACAUCUAAGUACCCCGAGGAAAAGAAAUCAACCGAGAUUCCCCCAGUAGCGGCGAGCGAACGGGGAGGAGCCCAGAGUCUGAAUCAGUUUGUGUGUUAGUGGAAGCGUCUGGAAAGUCGCACGGUACAGGGUGAUAGUCCCGUACACCAAAAUGCACAGGCUGUGAACUCGAUGAGUAGGGCGGGACACGUGACAUCCUGUCUGAAUAUGGGGGGACCAUCCUCCAAGGCUAAAUACUCCUGACUGACCGAUAGUGAACCAGUACCGUGAGGGAAAGGCGAAAAGAACCCCGGCGAGGGGAGUGAAAUAGAACCUGAAACCGUGUACGUACAAGCAGUGGGAGCACCUUCGUGGUGUGACUGCGUACCUUUUGUAUAAUGGGUCAGCGACUUAUAUUUUGUAGCAAGGUUAACCGAAUAGGGGAGCCGUAGGGAAACCGAGUCUUAACUGGGCGUCUAGUUGCAAGGUAUAGACCCGAAACCCGGUGAUCUAGCCAUGGGCAGGUUGAAGGUUGGGUAACACUAACUGGAGGACCGAACCGACUAAUGUUGAAAAAUUAGCGGAUGACUUGUGGCUGGGGGUGAAAGGCCAAUCAAACCGGGAGAUAGCUGGUUCUCCCCGAAAGCUAUUUAGGUAGCGCCUCGUGAACUCAUCUUCGGGGGUAGAGCACUGUUUCGGCUAGGGGGCCAUCCCGGCUUACCAAACCGAUGCAAACUCCGAAUACCGAAGAAUGUUAUCACGGGAGACACACGGCGGGUGCUAACGUCCGUCGUGAAGAGGGAAACAACCCAGACCGCCAGCUAAGGUCCCAAAGUCAUGGUUAAGUGGGAAACGAUGUGGGAAGGCACAGACAGCCAGGAUGUUGGCUUAGAAGCAGCCAUCAUUUAAAGAAAGCGUAAUAGCUCACUGGUCGAGUCGGCCUGCGCGGAAGAUGUAACGGGGCUAAACCAUGCACCGAAGCUGCGGCAGCGACACUUAGGUGUUGUUGGGUAGGGGAGCGUUCUGUAAGCCGUUGAAGGUGACCUGUGAGGGUUGCUGGAGGUAUCAGAAGUGCGAAUGCUGACAUAAGUAACGAUAAUGCGGGUGAAAAACCCGCACGCCGGAAGACCAAGGGUUCCUGUCCAACGUUAAUCGGGGCAGGGUGAGUCGACCCCUAAGGCGAGGCUGAAAAGCGUAGUCGAUGGGAAACAGGUUAAUAUUCCUGUACUUGGUGUUACUGCGAAGGGGGGACGGAGAAGGCUAGGCUGGCCGGGCGACGGUUGUCCCGGUUUAAGCGUGUAGGGGGAGUGACCAGGUAAAUCCGGUUGCUUAUCAACCCUGAGGCGUGAUGACGAUGCACCACGGUGCAGAAGCAGUUGAUGCCAUGCUUCCAGGAAAAGCCUCUAAGCAUCAGGUAACAUUAAAUCGUACCCCAAACCGACACAGGUGGUCAGGUAGAGAAUACUCAGGCGCUUGAGAGAACUCGGGUGAAGGAACUAGGCAAAAUGGUGCCGUAACUUCGGGAGAAGGCACGCUGGCGUUAGGUGAAAGGACUAGCUCCUGGAGCUGAAGCCAGUCGCAGAUACCAGCUGGCUGCAACUGUUUAAUAAAAACACAGCACUGUGCAAACACGAAAGUGGACGUAUACGGUGUGACGCCUGCCCGGUGCUGGAAGGUUAAUUGAUGGGGUCAGCCGCAAGGCGAAGCUCUUGAUCGAAGCCCCAGUAAACGGCGGCCGUAACUAUAACGGUCCUAAGGUAGCGAAAUUCCUUGUCGGGUAAGUUCCGACCUGCACGAAUGGCGUAAUGAUGGCCAGGCUGUCUCCACCCGAGACUCAGUGAAAUUGAACUCGCUGUGAAGAUGCAGUGUACCCGCGGCAAGACGGAAAGACCCCGUGAACCUUUACUAUAGCUUGACACUGAACAUUGAGCCUUGAUGUGUAGGAUAGGUGGGAGGCCUUGAAGUGUGGACGCCAGUCUGCAUGGAGCCAACCUUGAAAUACCACCCUUUAAUGUUUGAUGUUCUAACUCGGCCCCAUGAUCUGGGGUGAGGACAGUGUCUGGUGGGUAGUUUGACUGGGGCGGUCUCCUCCCAAAGAGUAACGGAGGAGCACGAAGGUUAGCUAAUCACGGUCGGACAUCGUGAGGUUAGUGCAAAGGCAUAAGCUAGCUUGACUGCGAGAGUGACGGCUCGAGCAGGUACGAAAGUAGGUCUUAGUGAUCCGGUGGUUCUGAAUGGAAGGGCCAUCGCUCAACGGAUAAAAGGUACUCCGGGGAUAACAGGCUGAUACCGCCCAAGAGUUCAUAUCGACGGCGGUGUUUGGCACCUCGAUGUCGGCUCAUCACAUCCUGGGGCUGAAGUAGGUCCCAAGGGUAUGGCUGUUCGCCAUUUAAAGUGGUACGCGAGCUGGGUUUAGAACGUCGUGAGACAGUUCGGUCCCUAUCUGCCGUGGGCGUUGGAAGAUUGAGAGGGGCUGCUCCUAGUACGAGAGGACCGGAGUGGACGAAUCACUGGUGUUCGGGUUGUCAUGCCAAUGGCAUUGCCCGGUAGCUAAAUUCGGAAGAGAUAACCGCUGAAAGCAUCUAAGCGGGAAACUUGCCUCGAGAUGAGUCUUCCCUGGGGCUUAAAGCCCCCUGAAGGAACGUUAAAGACUAUGACGUUGAUAGGCUGGGUGUGUAAGUGCAGCGAUGUAUUGAGCUAACCAGUACUAAUGAUCCGUGAGGCUUAACC
This 2904-nucleotide ribosomal RNA is filed under the name Yersinia pestis. RNAcentral describes it as "Bacterial large subunit ribosomal RNA". It matches the Rfam family "Bacterial large subunit ribosomal RNA". The record is from RNAcentral. Lineage: Bacteria; Pseudomonadati; Pseudomonadota; Gammaproteobacteria; Enterobacterales; Yersiniaceae.